Molecule: ribosomal RNA, 599 nt
Filed under: uncultured bacterium
Lineage: Bacteria
Description: bacterial SSU rRNA
Rfam family: Bacterial small subunit ribosomal RNA
Source: RNAcentral
CAUCCUGCCUUUGAAGAGGCGGUGAUCAAAGCUGGGGAUCGCAAGACCUAGCACUCGAAGAGGGGCCCGCGUCCGAUUAGCUAGUUGGUGGGGUAAUGGCCCACCAAGGCAACGAUCGGUAGCCGGCCUGAGAGGGCGGACGACCACACUGGGACUGAGACACGGCCCAGACUCCUACGGGAGGCAGCGGUGGGGAAUUGUUCGCAAUGGGCGCAAGCCUGACGACGCAACGCCGCGUGGAGGAUGAAGAUCUUCGGGUCGUAAACUCCUUUCGAUCGAGACGAAUUCCUCCGGGGUGAAUAAUCCCGGAGGUUGACGGUACCGAGAGAAGAAGCCCCGGCUAACUCCGUGCCAGCAGCCGCGGUAAUACGGGGGGGGCAAGCGUUGUUCGGAAUUACUGGGCGUAAAGGGCUCGUAGGUGGCCAACUAAGUCGGACGUGAAAUCCCUCGGCUUAACCGGGGAACUGCGUCCGAUACUGGUUGGCUUGAGUUUGGGAGAGGGAUGCGGAAUUCCAGGUGUAGCGGUGAAAUGCGUAGAUAUCUGGAGGAACACCGGUGGCGAAGGCGGCAUCCUGGACCGGCAUUGACGCUGAGGCGCG